RNAcentral lists this long non-coding RNA (1433 nucleotides) under Oncorhynchus mykiss (rainbow trout). RNAcentral describes it as "lncRNA (ENSOMYG00000050164.1)". The record is from RNAcentral. Lineage: Eukaryota; Metazoa; Chordata; Actinopteri; Salmoniformes; Salmonidae.
GGUGGAGGCCAAGAAGAGGAGGAUGUGGAGGUACCGUCUGCCUGGCUUUGAGUUGAGGCUCCUGGAGGAACUACAGAGACAGAAGCACAACAGUCUCUACUGUGAUACCCUGUUACAGACUGAUGGAUUGUCAGUCCCGGCCCACAGCUGCAUCCUGGCUGCCCUGAGCCCCUACCUGUCCAAUGCCCUGUCCAACCAGUCAUCCCCCCUCCCGGCUGGGCAGAGAUGGCCACUCAAGCUCCAGGCUGUGAAGGCCCAGACCCUGCUGAAGCUGGUGGAUCUCCUGUACUCCGGAGAGCUGGAGGGAGAGGGCACCAUGGAACAAGAAGAGGUUAUGGCCGCUGCCUGUAAGCUGGGCAUAGGCCGCUUGGUGGAGGGGUGGAAGGACCGGGGGAGGGAGGGAGAGGGGGAGGAGGAGAGGAGGUGCAGUCUCAGAGAUGUGGGGGUGCAGACGGAGGGAGGCGAGACACAGGUGGGGGUGUUGGUGGAGACGGGGACACAGACUGUGGACUGUAAUGGAGGUAUUUACAUGACUUUCCUCAGUCCUCUCCCUGAUACUCUCCAUACACCCCUCCUACUAGUCCAGAGCAGCAGUGAAGGCCAGCAGCACACAACUCACACGGCACUCCCUUCCCUGAGUCCCCAGAUUAUGACCCCCACUUCACACCCCAGUUCCACCCCACCCAGCGUCAAAGCAACGGUCAACUGUGGAACAGCUCCCUUUAGAACCCACCCUCGGACCUCCGAACCGGAGGUCACAAACCUGAGCGGUGACAUGGUCGCCCCGAGUGACGAUUCAGACCACCCCACGACAACCCGGGAGGAGAGUGCCAUCCCAGAAUGCUCUGUGGCGGAGAACGGCGUGACGGAGAGGAGGAUGGAGAAGAAGAGGGAGCAGCAGCUGACAUCACACACUGGGAGAGCAGAGGAAGGAGGAACAGGGGAGUGUCUGGAGAAGAGAGGUAUGAGGGAUGACAGUUAUUUUACACAUCCUUUGGGGUUUCUAGUUAUUUUCUGAAUCUCAUAUUUAGCAUGUUGUUUAUUUGUAUCUGUGUCAUGUACUGUAAAGUGUGUUGCCGUGUAUAACUGCACUGUAAAUAAGAUGUGAUGUGAUUGUGAGGUGUGGUUGGGAGGAAGUGGCUGACCGGACAGAGGCUGGAGGACACUCAGAUCUCCAUCAAGGUCAAGCUGAGGAGGAGGACCAGGGGACAGGUAGGUGGGGUGUCCAAAAUGGCACCCGGUUCCCUAAAUAGUGCCCUAGUUUUGACCUGGGCCCUGGUGAAAAGUAGUGCACUGUGUAGGGAAUAGGGUGCCAUUUUGGAUGUUGAGUUUUUCUUUGCUAAUGUGUGCCUCUGCUUGCUGUCUGGAGUCCAGGCCGGGUUAAUGUAAAACCCCUUAUUCUCACUCUUUUGAUCUAAAAACUGCUUUAUCAA